Molecule: non-coding RNA, 174 nt
Organism: Clostridiales bacterium oral taxon 876
Lineage: Bacteria; Bacillati; Bacillota; Clostridia; Eubacteriales
Source: Rfam
CUUAACUUUCUAUCUGAUCUUUUAGGGGAAGCUCCUAAACUUGAUGUAGACUGAACACAAGACCUAAGACUCCGCCAUGCAAUAUUUAAUAUCCUAAAUAUUGUAUGAAGCGCGGUGAAGUCAGUGAAAAUCAGACCUGAGAAGCGGUUAGAGAAGUAACUGGGGUGCCAUAAA